UAUUUCCGCUAAGUCCUCACUCAACUCACCUCCCAGAAGGUUUCCACACUGCAUGAUCCAUUGAACCUCACGGAAUCACUUCUCUUCUGAUGAGCUGCCUCCAGGAGCUGUGGAGGGUGAAACCAGAGAGGAUGCCAAGGUCUCCAUAAUAGCCCACCAGGUCAGAUGCUCACCUCUUGGGCCCUGGAAAACAGGACACAACAGAGAAAGCAGUAUAAGCAACGGUUAAAAUAACCAGGUCUUUGAUCAAUUAAGAAAAUUGAAUCUUCUCAAUAUUAAAAGAG
This is a long non-coding RNA of Hyaena hyaena (striped hyena), 284 nucleotides long. RefSeq lists it as uncharacterized. The transcript has 3 exons. The record is from RefSeq and is a predicted model, not a curated record. NCBI's taxonomy places the organism in Eukaryota, Metazoa, Chordata, Mammalia, Carnivora, Hyaenidae.